AACGAACGCUGGCGGCAGGCCUAACACAUGCAAGUCGAACGCUCGUAGCAAUACGAGAGUGGCAGACGGGUGAGUAACACGUGGGAACCUUCCCUAUGGUUCGGAAUAGCCCAGGGAAACUUGGGGUAAUACCGGAUAAGCCCUUCGGGGAAGGAUUAUCGCCAUUGGAUGGGCCCGGCCGUCGGAUUAGUCUAGUUGGUGGGGUAACGGGCCCGACCAAGGCGACGAUCCGUAGCUGGUCUGAGAGGANGAUCAGCCACACUGGGACUGAGACACGGCCCAGACUCCUACGGGAGGCAGCAGUGGGGAAUUGUUCGCAAUGGGCGGCAAGCCUGACGACGCAACGCCGCGUGGAGGAUGAAGGUCUUCGGAUUGUAAACUCCUGUUGCUCGGGACGAAAUGCUCCAGCCUAACACGUU
This 419-nucleotide ribosomal RNA is filed under the name uncultured bacterium. RNAcentral's name for it is "bacterial SSU rRNA". It matches the Rfam family "Bacterial small subunit ribosomal RNA", at positions 29 to 469 of the family's 1533-position model. The record is from RNAcentral.